UGGGGAAUUUUGGACAAUGGGGGCAACCCUGAUCCAGCCAUGCCGCGUGAGUGAAGAAGGCCUUCGGGUUGUAAAGCUCUUUCGGACGGGACGAAAUGGUUACGGUGAAUANCCGUGACUGAUGACGGUACCGUAANAAGAAGCACCGGCUAACUACGUGCCAGCAGCCGCGGUAAUACGUAGGGUGCGAGCGUUAAUCGGAAUUACUGGGCGUAAAGCGUGCGCAGGCGGUUCGCCAAGUCAGGUGUGAAAUCCCCGGGCUUAACCUGGGAAUUGCGCUUGAAACUAGCGGGCUUGAGUGUGGCAGAGGGGGGUGGAAUUCCACGUGUAGCAGUGAAAUGCGUAGAGAUGUGGAGGAACACCGAUGGCGAAGGCAGCCCCCUGGGUCAACACUGACGCUCAUGCACGAAAGCGUGGGGAGCAAACAGGAUUAGAUACCCUGGUAGUCCACGCCCUAAACGAUGUCGACUAGGUGUUGGGGAAGGAGACUUCCUUAGUACCGCAGCUAACGCGUGAAGUCGACCGCCUGGGGAGUACGGUCGCAAGAUUA
Molecule: ribosomal RNA, 550 nt
Filed under: uncultured beta proteobacterium
Lineage: Bacteria; Pseudomonadati; Pseudomonadota; Betaproteobacteria
Description: bacterial SSU rRNA
Rfam family: Bacterial small subunit ribosomal RNA
Source: RNAcentral